AACAUCCAGAGCAUGCAUUCCUGGUUGCAAAUGAUCCUUCAAUAGCUCUAAGCAGGUUGCAUGCAUGUGAGGAGCAGAUAUUGUUGCGUUGAAACCAAUAGGCAUAGGACUGUCAAUGUAAGGGGUACCCUCUGGUACAAAUAGUGCUCUAUCAAUCGUUUCCAUUACUUCCGCCACUUUUUCAGUUCUAACAACACCAUACUGCUUUAGGUACUCAACCAGAGCCUUGUUCCUGUCCAGUGAUGGUUGACUCCAAUAUUGCUGAAAGUUAAUCAAGAAUCGGUGAGACUACACUUGAUAUGUAUGGCUACAGGAUGGAAUUGCAGCAAUAAACAGGCAAUCGCAGUGCUAAUUUGAGCUCGCUUUCUUUUCUUAUACAGAAAAACGAUGAAGCAUAAAUGAAAACAGAA
RNAcentral lists this long non-coding RNA (410 nucleotides) under Sorghum bicolor (sorghum). RNAcentral describes it as "long non-coding RNA (SBIC_LNC011291)". The record is from RNAcentral. Lineage: Eukaryota; Viridiplantae; Streptophyta; Magnoliopsida; Poales; Poaceae.